This 860-nucleotide ribosomal RNA is filed under the name Uperodon montanus (Jerdon's ramanella). RNAcentral's name for it is "partial 16S ribosomal RNA". It matches the Rfam family "Bacterial large subunit ribosomal RNA", at positions 1218 to 2599 of the family's 2925-position model. The record is from RNAcentral. Lineage: Eukaryota; Metazoa; Chordata; Amphibia; Anura; Microhylidae.
UCGUUUGUCCCCAUUAAUACCAACAACAUCACAAAACCCCUAACUAAUACUGAAUGAUUCCAUAAUUCUAUGGAAAACCAUAUGCUAGAACUAGUAACAAGAAGAAGACCUUCUCCAAAAUAUAAGUGUAACCCGAAACGAACCAAUCACCGGCAACUACCGCCAAUGAAUAUUGAGUAGCAACUUUACAAGAAAACCCUACUCCACCGAGCGUUAACCUUACACCAGAAUAUUUCAGGAAAGAUUAAAAGAAGAAGAAGGAACUCGGCAAAUUAUUAACCUCGCCUGUUUACCAAAAACAUCGCCUCUUGAAACUCUAUAAGAGGUCCAGCCUGCCCAGUGACAAAGUUAAACGGCCGCGGUACCCUAACCGUGCGAAGGUAGCGCAAUCACUUGUUCUUUAAAUGAGGACUAGUAUGAACGGCAUCACGAAGGUUAUACUGUCUCCUUCCUCCAAUCAGUGAAACUGACCCCCCCGUGAAGAGGCGGGGAUAAAAAUAUAAGACGAGAAGACCCCAUGGAGCUUUAAACUCAGCAUCAAUUGCCCAACUCAAAUAUCAUUUUAAAUCAGCAAACCUGACAGCUAGUUUUCGGUUGGGGUGACCACGGAGCAAAACAAAACCUCCAUGAUGAAAGGACAAACCUCCUAAUCUAAGAGCUACAACUCAAAGAAUCAAUAAACUGACAUAACUUGAUCCAAUUAACUUUGAUCAACGAACCAAGUUACCCUGGGGAUAACAGCGCAAUCCACUUCAAGAGCCCCUAUCGACAAGUGGGUUUACGACCUCGAUGUUGGAUCAGGGUAUCCUAGUGGUGCAGCCGCUACUAAUGGUUCGUUUGUUCAACGAUUAAAACCCUAC